Molecule: transfer RNA, 73 nt
Filed under: Microbacterium phage Cece
Lineage: Duplodnaviria; Heunggongvirae; Uroviricota; Caudoviricetes
Description: tRNA-Glu
Rfam family: tRNA
About the family: Transfer RNA (tRNA) molecules are approximately 80 nucleotides in length. Their secondary structure includes four short double-helical elements and three loops (D, anti-codon, and T loops).
Source: RNAcentral
GUCCUCAUAGUAUAGUGGUUAGUACGCUAGAUUCUCAGUCUAGAGGUCGGGGUUCGAUUCCCCGUGGGGAUAC